Venturia canescens is the source of this 265-nucleotide long non-coding RNA. RefSeq lists it as uncharacterized. Lineage: Eukaryota; Metazoa; Arthropoda; Insecta; Hymenoptera; Ichneumonidae. The record is from RefSeq and is a predicted model, not a curated record. The transcript is spliced from 2 exons.
UAUCCCGAGACUCUACCGAGUCUCUUGAUAAUUAUUAUUCAUAAUUUGUUUCAGUGACGAUGCAGGACCUCUUAUAAUGAGCGACAGUGACCUGAUUGAGCGUGCAAAGGAUUCUGGCUCAUGGACAGGGAUGAUUUGGUAGCGAAUGAAGACAAACGGAAUGGUUUUUUGCGCCCAGAAAGGAAACGUAAAACCGAAUUAGAACGAUUAAAUUCAUAACUGUAUUCUGGAAAAAUAAAAGAAAUGCCGUCUUGAUUAAACUGUG